RNAcentral lists this ribosomal RNA (332 nucleotides) under uncultured bacterium. RNAcentral describes it as "bacterial SSU rRNA". It matches the Rfam family "Bacterial small subunit ribosomal RNA", at positions 568 to 898 of the family's 1533-position model. The record is from RNAcentral.
CGUGUAGGCGGCCAUGCAAGUCGGGUGUGAAAGCCCUCGGCUUAACCGAGGAAAUGCGCCCGAAACUACAUGGCUUGAGUACCGGAGAGGGUGGCGGAAUUCCCGGUGUAGAGGUGAAAUUCGUAGAUAUCGGGAGGAACACCAGCGGCGAAGGCGGCCACCUGGACGGAUACUGACGCUGAGACGCGAAAGCGUGGGGAGCAAACAGGAUUAGAUACCCUGGUAGUCCACGCCGUAAACGAUGAGCGCUAGGUGUUGUGGGUGUUGACCCCUGCAGUGCCGCAGCUAACGCAUUAAGCGCUCCGCCUGGGAAGUACGGCCGCAAGGCUAAA